This is a long non-coding RNA of Diospyros lotus (date-plum), 889 nucleotides long. RefSeq lists it as uncharacterized. The record is from RefSeq and is a predicted model, not a curated record. The transcript has 2 exons. NCBI's taxonomy places the organism in Eukaryota, Viridiplantae, Streptophyta, Magnoliopsida, Ericales, Ebenaceae.
CUUAAGCCCCUAUUUUAUCUCUUGUGACUAGUUUCAGCCCUUCCAAAUACCUUGCCACCUGUUGGCCCUCACUUUCAGAAGGUUAUUGCUUUCUACCAACUGCAUGAAUCUUAUUGUGUAUUCAUGAAUGGUUUUUGACCUUGACAACAUCUUUUGGUACAAUUGAAACAAGAUUUGCUCAUAGUCAGGGGGGAAGAAAAUCUUGUUGCAGUAACUGUUUCAUCUGAUACCAUGUCUUGAUAGGUGCCUUUCCUUCAUGCUGUUUGAGGGAAUCAAGUAGAUAAAGUCAAGAAAUUGGAAGCUGUGCAAUUCAAAUGAAAAUUGGAGAAGAUAUUGGGAUUGAAGUUGGAGAUUAAUGUGGAUUAUUAAAUUGAAAGGAUGUGUCGUAACUGGAAGUCCAAUUGGAGGAGGAGUUCAAGCCAUUAAAUAAUUGCAAUUGAAGGAGAAUGCUAACUGGAGUGGAAGCCAUGCACCUAUAAAUAUAAUAUUAUAAAGAGAAUUGAAGGCGGGAGAGAGAAAAGAGAGGAAUUGAAGGUAGCAACAAUUAGUUGAAGAACUCAUGCAGCAGGAUUGCUAAGACGUUGCUGAAGCAAGGCAGAAGGGAAACUAGUGGCAACCAAGCAGUCACGCAUAGCGUUCGCAAAGAAGCCGCACAACCCUCUCACGUACCAGUAGCCGCACAACAAAUCUGUUUCGGAUCUAUCCCAGAUCUGUUGUGACCUAGAUCUAUUUUAGAUCUGGACAGGGAGUUUCCUUUAUUUUUCUUUUUGAGCUUCUGUUUUCUAUUUUUUUAAUUUUUUAAGAUUUUAAUUAUGCAACAACUCUUAGUUGAUUUUGAGAAUAUUUUAUUCAUUAUGAAUGGCUAAAUAAUUGUGUAGGAUUUACUCAA